Non-coding RNA from Microcebus murinus (gray mouse lemur), 6123 nucleotides. The record is from RefSeq and is a predicted model, not a curated record. NCBI's taxonomy places the organism in Eukaryota, Metazoa, Chordata, Mammalia, Primates, Cheirogaleidae.
AGCCCCUCCCUGGACUCCUCUGCUUGCCCUGCUGACGGGCUCAGAAGCUUGGCUGAAGACGGGGUAUCAGCUAACGACUGUCGUCAGAUGCAAGCAGAGGAAACUCACCCGCCCGCAACGUGGAGAUGGGUGGUCCUUCCACCUAAGUCAGGGGGGGUUCUUCACUCUCACGCUUGCAACAUGGCUCCUCUUCCCCCGGAGCCACGGCCCCUUCCCAGUAGACUUCCACUCGCUCGGCAUUGGCCAGGCCGGUCAUGUGACCACCCCUGACUGCAGGGCAUUCUGGGAAGGUGAGUCUUUGUGACCGGGCAGUUGCUUCCGUGAUGGACACAGGGCAGGGGCUUCACGGUGCCUACCACAGACGGAGUUUGUGUUUCUGUCCCUCCUUGUCUUGUGUGUGACUUGCGUCUGCCAAUCAAGCUAAAACCCUUUUGCUGUGCCUCAGGAUGGGGGAGGUGAGAUCCGAAGCGCCCGGCUCGGCCUCCAAGAGGAGCAGCUUCUGCAGAGAUGCCAGGGAGGGCUGAGGCGGCGGCGGCGGCGACGGCGGCGGAGGAGGAAAGGCUGCCUGUGCCCAAAUCCCCUUCCAUGGACUUCUGAGAUUGGGAGCAAACUCAGGGGCAGGGACGGGGGUACAGGGGAGGGGGUUCUGAGCCGCCCGUCCACAAGCAAUAGUCCUAUUUUGGGCCGGUGGCUUCUGGGAGCUGACUCACUGUGAACUUGGGAUGACCAACACAAAGCUGCUCUGGCCGGUCUGAGCCAGGAAGAUCUAGGCCUGUGAGUCAUAGCCGUGGGUCAAAGCCUGGAGCUUCCCUUCCCUCCGCCCCGCCCGUAGUGGCCCCUCGGGCCUGUCCGUGUCGGAAUAUUGAAUGUGCGUGUGUGUGUGUGUGUGCGCACGUGUGCGUGUGUGACUUCGGGUGUUCUUGUUUGGUUGGUUGGUUUUUACUGGGGUCCUCCCCAAGUUCUCUGACGAACACAGGUCACCGUGGGGCUGGGGGUUCUUGCCAGGGCCGGUGCCCAGGGCCCGAGCCUCUCGCUGCUGCCGGCAGCCGCGACCCAGGCGGGGUUGGCUGAGCACAGGGUACAGCCCCGCUGCGUCUCGGGGGCACUGGGGGUUCGGGGAUGCCGGUCGGGGCUGGGUCUUACGGAAUUCGCUCCCGUCAACAGCAGUAACAAUGAGCGAUGACAAGGGACACGUCUCAGGCCGGCCGCGGCCCCGGGCUGGACGAUCUCACGCACACCCUUUCUCACCGCCUGGGAAGUGGGUGUGAUCCGCCCCUGCAGAAAUAGCUCACAGAGGGGAGCAAGGCCCACGGCCACACAGCCGGGGGAGGCAGGCUCGCCUGAGGGUGCAGGAACCAAAGGCCCAGGCUCCCACUCCCUGGACGCGACGUGCUCCCCGGCCAGGCCACACCCAGCACGGCCCCCGGAGCACCCCCCAUGCCUUCUCAAGGGCGGGCCCCGGGCUCCCCACCUUCACUGCCGGAACCCUCGCCCGCCCCGCACACUCUGGCUGAGCUUCACCUGCUGCGCCAGGUGCCGUGCUGGGCGGUGAGUGACGGGGGCGAGAGAUGAGCCAGACCUGGCCUCUGCCCCCGGGGAGCUCCCCACCGGGUGGGAGAGACAAACACAUGAGUCGUUGCCAGGAAGGCUGAUGAAACCCAGAGGAGGGGAAGGUUCUAGAAAUCCAUCCGCUUUGAGGUGGGACUUCCAGGUAAACCUGGGCGCCCGUAAGAUCCGCCCACGGAGCUCACCGCCUCUUCCGCCCGCCUGCUGCCCCGGGGCGCACGGGAGGACAUCACCUACAAGACCCCCGCGUAAGUCCCCGAGGGCCACGCUGCCAGCCCACACACGCCACCCUGCUAGCGUCAGUGGUACCAGAAUCUCCCACCGCCCGUAGCCUGGGGGCCCGUCCCCUCUGACCCUGUACCCUCCCGCAGUCAGACCCAGCGUUCCCGCACAGUCUGUCCACCCACGCACGAGGCGCCGCGGAGAGCCAGGCCGGCCCUGCUCCUGGUGCGGCCUUGCAUCUGGGGAGGGGGCGGAGGAGGAAGGCGGUGAGCGCUCUGCCGCCGCGGUGCCGAGGUAGUGAGGGCCUGCGGAGCGGGCUGGUCUGGGAAGCCCUUCUGAGCGGUGAUAGUUAAGCCCAGGUCUACGCAGCAAGCAGGAGCCAGCCAGGGUGUCACAGCAGGGAGGAGAGCGCCCCAGGUGGAGGAACGGCCCGUGCAAAGGCCCUGAGGCAGCAACGGGCUUGGUGGUCUCAAAGGCCCAGAGGCAGAGCAGAAGGAGGCGACAGUGAGUCACCGUCAUGCUGAGCAAAUACAGGGCCACCUCUGAAAAGCAGAGCAAACUUUCAGGGACGCAAAGCAUGUUCCAUGCCUCCUGGCUUUGCAACAGCCCCGUAGAGAAAGACUCUCCCAUUUUACAGACUAGGGGACUGAGGCUCAGCUGGGUCAAGUGGCUCGCCCAAGGUCACACUGAAGGUCACACAGGCUGGCUAUGGAAGACCCGCGUGGCUUCAGUCUUUGGUCCCAGCAUCUCCUCUGUGUAGACAGCACUGGUGGAGUCAAAGCAGGAGAUGUUUGCUCAGGGUCGUGACCAGGUGUAGACGUGGUGUCCUUCCCUUGGAUACCAGGUCCUCCCAGGACAUGCCAGGGCCUUGUUGCCACGGGCAUGCCCAGCUGGCCAGUGAGCCCCGCUGGAUCAGCCCGUGCCUGCAGCCCACACGCAGGCCUCAGGAGUCAGAGGAAGCCCAGGGCAGGGGCACGAGACCCAGGUUCCGACACCAGUUCUGCCAUCAGGAGCAGGUUGACCUCGGGCAAGGCCGUGCCCUCAGCGCCACCCUUUCCCCCAUCAGUAAGGGGAAGGAGCCAGGUCAGGACUUUAAGGGCUUGCAGCCCUGGCGUCCUGACACUCUGGGGGCUCACACAGCUGCUCACAGAGAGGUGUCCCCGCUCCAGAGAAGGAGCUGUGGCCAAGUGACAAUUAGGGCUGGGAGUCUCCUGAUUUGCAUCCCCUGAGAGUUGCCACCUUAGGGAGGACACUCCUCCCAGCCCCGCAGGCCUUUUCAGGAAUAGAUGAAAAUUCUCAUGGUCUGUUGUCCUGCUGCUCUGCCGGCUCCCUGUCGGGGGCUGGGCCAGGGACUGGAAGGUUCUGCGGUGGGCAGGAGGCCUCACAUCCGUGUGGCUCGGCGGAGAUCGCAGGGGACCGAGCAGGCAGCCUGUGGCGAAGGCAGGUCCAGAGACGGGGCCCCGGCACCGCCCCUUCCAGCGGGGUGACCUCGAAGGUACCCUGGCCCCUCGGCCUUGUUUCUCACCCGGCGAGUGUGCAGGCGGGUGCUGGGUGGUCACAGCCCUGGCCGUGUCCGGGGCUGGCGCGGCGUGCAGAGCAGGCGUGUGCAGUCCAGUCCCUUGGUGGCGUCAGGGCUCCUCGAAACCCCCAGGAUCCCAGGUCUUCACAGGGAAACCCUGCCCCCGCCCCGCGUGGCUGCCGGCGAGCAGAGCGCCCCUAGAGCAAGAUGCAGGGUAGUGGCGAAUGCAAGUACAGAUUUAUAGAGUUGUUUUUUUUAGUGACUCCCAAAUCUAAUUUUUUAAGCCGCCUACUUUUACUUUUUACUGUGAGCUUGUGUCUAUCACUACAUAAUUUUUAAUAAUAAUAACACAAAAAGGAAAACAAAAAGAAGAGAGAGAAGGUAGCAGCACUCCGUGUUGGGGAGGAAUGUGUAUCCCAUGCUGGUGCGUGGCUACCACGUGUGUACGGAUGUUUCCCACUGGGAACGGCGUGAUUACCGAGCAGUUUUAUGCUUCCCGCGUGUCUGUGUGUGGGGUGACUGCCGUGUGCGUGGGAGCUCUCGCCAGGGUCAGGAGCUGGGAGGACCUGCGGCCUCGGCCUCUGGGACUGCCCGGGCCCUAGAGAAGCGGCCUGCCCACCCGCCCCGCCGGGACCCUCCAGCCACCAGGCCAGCACCUGCCCGUGACCACUGCCAAUGUGCAACAGGCCUUAAUUGAAAACACGCAUGCACACACAUGCACACACACAUUUGAGCACAUGUACGCACAUAUACAGCUGCACGCAUGCAUAUACUCGUGUGCGUGCACAAGUGCACGGACAUGCCCACCCCCACACACAAACAUGCAUACAUGCACACACAUGUGCACAGUGCAACCACACACACAUGCGCACAUACAUGUGAUUUUGCAGGUAGAUCUGGCCCCUCUUGCUGUCUCCCAUGCUCCAGAAAGCAGAAGUAGGCAGCACACAGUGUUCUUCAGCGGGUGGCAUUUCCCCUCAGUGUCAGAAAAAGUCGGGCACAUUUGGCCCCAGGUCUGAAAAGAAGGGCUUGCCCGCAGAAGCCGGGUCCGGCUCCAGCCCUUUCGUCCCCACAGCCACUGCCCCCGCCCAGGCCCCUCCCCCGGCACGCUGGCUCGCUGUCUGCUAGAGGGCCAGCCACACAAGAAGACAAGGGUCCCGGAGGUGCAGACCUUUACAUUUUUCACCGGCUUAUUUUAAUUUUUCAACUUGGCUAACUGGUCCCCACUGGCAGGAAGAGCCUCUGGAAGUGAAUUUGCACGCGCCCCCAACAAUCCAGACCGACAGGCAGCCCGAGUGGCGUCACCGGGGGCCUCUCUGGCAAAUAGUGAAUAAGCACGUCACCACGGGGAGAUGCCACGUGGCCCCUCUCUCGUCUGCUGCGAAGAUCGGGGGCUGCACGGGGAGAGCAAACCGCGGGGAGUCUCAAUCCUGCCCCCCACCCGGCCACAGCCCGAGGGGCAGUGAGUGGUCAUGCCCCUGCGGUCCCGGAUACGUGUGUCGCUGGGCCGGGUUGUGCCCUGCGCCCUCCGGAAGACAGCCCGGCACUUACGCUGUGCGGGCGCCACGCGGGCCCCAGUCCCUGCGUGUAGUGCAGACACGUGACGAGACGUGGCCGUGAAUGUCACAGCCCUGGGGGCCAUGGUCUGAGAACGCAGCUGCUGAAGUUGGACAGUCAGGUGAGCUAGAAAGGUCAGGGCCACGCUAGAAAGUCUGUACCGUCUUGAAGGUGUCACUCACCUGCAUGACAGGUGUCUGCCGGGCACCUGCCGUGGCCUGGCUCCGUGCCCGGUGCCCGUGUGGGAGCCAUCCCCACUGGAGUCAGGUCUCCUGUGAAAUGCCUAGUUGUGCCCAGCAAUCCCCAGUGCUCAGAGCCGCAAAAUGAAUAGGGAACGCCGGCCUAUGCCACCCACGGACGUGAUCUCGGAGGCGGCGUUGCUCCAGCCCGCCCAGUUUCCAGUCCAGACCCUGCCCGACAGCUGGUGCUAGAUAGAUGCUUGUUGAGUGAACGCUUUGUCCCUCUGUACCUAAAACUCCUGUCUUCACAUCAAAGCCCUGCCCAACUUGCCCUCAACAGCCUGAACUUCAGGGCUGCUGCAGUGCCCACCUCGCGGAGGCACCCCUCGAAACACUGUCACGUGAGGGGGAACGGGCUACAGGGACCCACUCACAUGGACCACGCUGAGCACGGCGACCCCCGGCUUUGCGCAGUGAGGCGCCUGCCGGAUUGCGCCAGACCAUCCUCCAGAACGUGCAGGGUCCCCUUGCCGUCAGAGCCGAACCCGAGCCUGGGACCAAAAACUACGGAUUGCACGGCCGCCCUGGGCACCCAGUGUGGCCUCAGCUGGAGCCGUGCUGGCGGCCCCAGGGCGCCUCUCGUUGGCAUGGCAGCCCCGCUUCCCACGCCCGGUCUCCUGUUUGCUCCCGCGUCUGAGAGCCAGUGGGCGUGGCAGUCACAGCCAACCAGGCAGCACUGGGGGUGCGUGGAGACGGCAAGGGCGAGGGGCUCAGCCACCUUAGCGAGGUGGGAAACGGCCUGCAAAAGCCAGUGUGUCCUCCCCAGGGUCAGCCGGACGGGCCGCGGCCACGAGGGCAGAAACUCUCUCUCCCUGAAUCCGACUUCACGAGAGCAGGCGUGGGGUCUGAGCUGGCGAGCGGGAAAACCAAAAACCAAUAAUACUCCCAAUAUUAUAACGAUACGAUGUAACGAUAAUGUGCUCUACACUGACCACUGUUGCUCCGCUUCUGUCUUUAUACACAGUAGUUUUUAUAAAGAUGUCCUUAGGUUUUAAUAAAGGAGUGUCAUGUCAACUGUUC